This 374-nucleotide ribosomal RNA is filed under the name uncultured organism. Its description in RNAcentral is "partial 16S ribosomal RNA". It matches the Rfam family "Bacterial small subunit ribosomal RNA", at positions 527 to 896 of the family's 1533-position model. The record is from RNAcentral.
GUAGGCGGCAAGCGUUGUCCGGAAUUAUUGGGCGUAAAGCGCGCGCAGGCGGGUCCUUUAAGUCUGAUGUGAAAGCCCACGGGCUCAACCGUGGAGGGUCAUUGGAAACUGGGGGACUUGAGUACAGAAGAGGAAAGCGGAAUUCCAAGUGUAGCGGUGAAAUGCGUAGAGAUUUGGAGGAACACCAGUGGCGAAGGCGGCUUUCUGGUCUGUAACUGACGCUGAGGCGCGAAAGCGUGGGGAGCAAACAGGAUUAGACACCCUGGUAGUCCACGCCGUAAACGAUGAGUGCUAAGUGUUAGGGGGUUUCCGCCCCUUAGUGCUGCAGCUAACGCAUUAAGCACUCCGCCUGGGGAGUACGGCCGCAAAGGCUG